GAUGAACGCUGGCGGCGUGCCUAAUACAUGCAAGUCGAGCGAACAGACGAGGAGCUUGCUCCUCUGACGUUAGCGGCGGACGGGUGAGUAACACGUGGAUAACCUACCUAUAAGACUGGGAUAACUUCGGGAAACCGGAGCUAAUACCGGAUAAUAUAUUGAACCGCAUGGUUCAAUAGUUAAAGACGGUUUUGCUGUCACUUAUAGAUGGAUCCGCGCCGCAUUAGCUAGUUGGUAAGGUAACGGCUUACCAAGGCGACGAUGCGUAGCCGACCUGAGAGGGUGAUCGGCCACACUGGAACUGAGGCACGGUCCAGACUCCUACGGGAGGCAGCAGUAGGGAAUCUUCCGCAAUGGGCGAAAGCCUGACGGAGCAACGCCGCGUGAGUGAUGAAGGUCUUCGGAUCGUAAAACUCUGUUAUUAGGGAAGAACAAAUGUGUAAGUAACUAUGCACGUCUUGACGGUACCUAAUCAGAAAGCCACGGCUAACUACGUG
RNAcentral lists this ribosomal RNA (497 nucleotides) under uncultured bacterium. Its description in RNAcentral is "partial 16S ribosomal RNA". It matches the Rfam family "Bacterial small subunit ribosomal RNA", at positions 28 to 507 of the family's 1533-position model. The record is from RNAcentral.